UGUUUGUUUUUCUUGUGAUGAUGAAGGUACAAGUCCCUGAAGAGGCAGCAGAAGCUAGAGCUGCUUUUAGGAAGCUGUGGGUGGCCCAGGCCUCUUUCCUUAGGCAAGCUGACACCAUUGGUUGAUUUGUAGAUAUUGAAAAAUCUUUGUAUCUGUGGGAUAAAUUCCACUUGAUCAUGGUGUGUG
RNAcentral lists this small RNA (186 nucleotides) under Ovis aries (sheep). RNAcentral describes it as "ST7 overlapping transcript 4 conserved region 3 (ENSOARG00000022270.1)". The stretch from base 1 to 121 matches the Rfam family "ST7 overlapping transcript 4 conserved region 3". Lineage: Eukaryota; Metazoa; Chordata; Mammalia; Artiodactyla; Bovidae. The record is from RNAcentral.